GACGAACGCUGGCGGCGUGCCUAACACAUGCAAGUCGAACGAGCGAGCGAGAGCUUGCUUUCUCUAGCGAGUGGCGAACGGGUGAGUAACACGUGAGGAACCUGCCCCUAAGAGGGGGACAACAGUUGGAAACGACUGCUAAUACCGCAUAAGCUCACGUCCCGCCAUCGGGUCGAGGGAAAAGGAGCCAUCCGCUUUGAGAUGGCCGCGCGUCCGAUUAGCUUGUUGGUGAGGUAACGGCCCACCAAGGCGACGAUCAGUAGCCGGACCGAGAGGUUGAGCGGCCACAUUGGGACUGAGACACGGCCCAGACUCCUACGGGAGGCAGCAGUGGGGAAUAUUGCACAAUGGGGGAAACGCUGAUGCAGCGACGCCGGGUGGAGGAAGAAGGUCGUCGGAUUGUAAACUCCUGUUGUUGAGGAAGAUAAUGACGGUACUCAACAAGGAAGUGACGGCUAACUACGUG
RNAcentral lists this ribosomal RNA (466 nucleotides) under uncultured bacterium. Its description in RNAcentral is "partial 16S ribosomal RNA". It matches the Rfam family "Bacterial small subunit ribosomal RNA", at positions 28 to 507 of the family's 1533-position model. The record is from RNAcentral.